This 63-nucleotide transfer RNA is filed under the name Heterocephalus glaber (naked mole-rat). It matches the Rfam family "tRNA". From Rfam's summary of the family: Transfer RNA (tRNA) molecules are approximately 80 nucleotides in length. Their secondary structure includes four short double-helical elements and three loops (D, anti-codon, and T loops). Lineage: Eukaryota; Metazoa; Chordata; Mammalia; Rodentia; Bathyergidae. The record is from Rfam by way of RNAcentral.
GGGGGUGUAGCUCAGUGGUAGAGCACUUGCCUAGCACAUGCAAGGCCCUGGCCUGCAUCCCCC